RNAcentral lists this unclassified non-coding RNA (301 nucleotides) under Hevea brasiliensis (rubber tree). The record is from RNAcentral. Lineage: Eukaryota; Viridiplantae; Streptophyta; Magnoliopsida; Malpighiales; Euphorbiaceae.
GUUUUUUCAAUCAGAUCCCUGCAAACUAGCGACUGUUUUCAAUGAUUGGACUCAAGAGAUCGUGAUCCUUGCUUCUCAAGCUUUAAUUUGAUAACAGCCACACCUUAAUCAGACAUCGGACGGUGAUGAUGCUCAGUAGGUGGCCGAGACUAUAUCCAUCGAUUCAUGGUGAUCAGAGCAGAAUCUCGACAUAUGGACUCCGAGAUCAUGAUUAUUAGUGGCCUAUGGACAUUCAAAAAGUGCACUCGGAUUGAAGACGCACCACCAGCACUCAGGACUGGUUUUCUGACUAGAUUGCAAC